UACACUCCUGCGGGAGGCAGCAGUGGGGAAUAUUGCACAAUGGGCGCAAGCCUGAUGCAGCCAUGCCGCGUGUAUGAAGAAGGCCUUCGGGUUGUAAAGUACUUUCAGCGGGGAGGAAGGCGAUAAGGUUAAUAACCUUGUUGAUUGACGUUACCCGCAGAAGAAGCACCGGCUAACUCCGUGCCAGCAGCCGCGGUAAUACGGAGGGUGCAAGCGUUAAUCGGAAUUACUGGGCGUAAAGCGCACGCAGGCGGUCUGUCAAGUCGGAUGUGAAAUCCCCGGGCUCAACCUGGGAACUGCAUUCGAAACUGGCAGGCUAGAGUCUUGUAGAGGGGGGUAGAAUUCCAGGUGUAGCGGUGAAAUGCGUAGAGAUCUGGAGGAAUACCGGUGGCGAAGGCGGCCCCCUGGACAAAGACUGACGCUCAGGUGCGAAAGCGUGGGGAGCAAACAGGAUUAGAUACCCUAGUAGUCC
RNAcentral lists this ribosomal RNA (472 nucleotides) under uncultured organism. RNAcentral describes it as "partial 16S ribosomal RNA". It matches the Rfam family "Bacterial small subunit ribosomal RNA", at positions 332 to 796 of the family's 1533-position model. The record is from RNAcentral.